RNAcentral lists this ribosomal RNA (112 nucleotides) under Sus scrofa (pig). Lineage: Eukaryota; Metazoa; Chordata; Mammalia; Artiodactyla; Suidae. The record is from RNAcentral.
GUGUCUGGCCAUACCACUGUGACCGUGCCAGAUCUUGUCUGAUCUCGGAAGCUGAGCAGGAUUGGGGCUGAUUAAUACUUGGGUGGGAGGAGGUAUUUGUAAACCAUGUAUC